RNAcentral lists this ribosomal RNA (1502 nucleotides) under Caecilia tentaculata. Its description in RNAcentral is "partial 16S ribosomal RNA". It matches the Rfam family "Bacterial large subunit ribosomal RNA", at positions 335 to 2597 of the family's 2925-position model. Lineage: Eukaryota; Metazoa; Chordata; Amphibia; Gymnophiona; Caeciliidae. The record is from RNAcentral.
UAAGCGCACUGGAAAGUGCUCUUGGAUUAACCAGAAUGUAGUAUACACAAAACACUUCACUUACAUUGAAAAAACAUCUACAACCAGAUCAUUCUGACGAUAAUGCUAGCCAAACUUUUAAAUUAAAAACAACAAGUUACACCUAAACAAAUUAAAACAUUUAUCAUCCUAGUAUAGGCGAUAGAACAGACACAUAGCGCAAUAGACUAAGUACCGCAAGGGAAUACUGAAAAAGAAAUUAAACAACUCAUAAAAGUAAUAAAAAGCAGGAAUUAAGCCCCAUACCUUUUGCAUCAUGAUUUAACUAGUCCUAACCAGGCAAAAAGACUUUUAGCCCGCCCCCCCGAAACCAGACGAGCUAUUUUAAAGCAGCCUAUCACAGGGCCUACCCAUCUCUGUUGCAAAAGAGUGGGGAGACUUUAAAAUAGAGGUGACAUGCCAACCAAGCCUGGCGAUAGCUGGUUGCUCAAUAAACGAGUCUAAGCUCCGCUGCAACUCUUACUAACAUAACACCACAUUUAACUAAAACUUGACAGCCACUCAUAAGAGGUACAACUCUUAUGAGACAGGAUACAACCUAAAACAAUAGGUAAUGAUUAUACUACACAAGGAGUACUGCCCACAGUAGGCCUAAUAGCAGCCACCUAUUUUAACCGCGUCAUAGCUUAAGCACAAAUCCAUCCAACAAAUCAAAACCACCUAUCAGAUCCUAUAAUACCUAAUGAGCCACCCUAUAAACCUAUAGUCCAAUUAAUGUUAAAACUAGUAAUAAGAAAGCACGACUUCCUCUAUGCACCAGUGUAACUCAGACCGGACAAACCACUGACAAUUACCGACCUAUUGGCCAAACUAAUUCUCAACAAGAAAUUUGCCUCACACCACCGUUAACCCUACACAGGAGCGCAAUCAGAGAGACCAUAAGACAAAGAAGGAACUAGGCAAACCACUUAAAGCUUCGCCUGUUUACCAAAAACAUCGCCUCUAGCAACACACAUAUUAGAGGUACUGCCUGCCCAGUGAUAUUUAUUCAACGGCCACGGUACUUUGACCGUGCAAAGGUAGCAUAAUCACUUGUUUUUUAAAUAAAGACUUGUAUGAAAGGCAACACGAAAGCUUGACUGUCUCCUUUGUCUAAUCUACGAAACUGAUCUUCCUGUAAAAAAGCAGGAAUAAUACCGUAAGACGAGAAGACCCUAUGGAGCUUAAGACAAAACAUAAUCACUGCACCAUUAGCACGAAUUUAUCCACGUCUUCAGUUGGGGCGACUACGGAGUACACAAACCCUCCGCGAACCAUUUGCCAAUGUUACAAACUAACGCACCAAGACACUAAACAAUUGAUCCAAUAUUAUUGAUCAACGAACCAAGCUACCCUAGGGAUAACAGCGCAAUCUUCUUUUAGAGUCCAUAUCAACAAGAAGGUUUACGACCUCGAUGUUGGAUCAGGGUAUCCAGACAAUGUAGCCGUUGUCAUAGGUUUGUUUGUUCAACAAUUAAAACCCU